UGGCGAACGGGUGAGUAACGCGUGAGGAACCUGCCUCAAAGAGGGGGACAACAGUUGGAAACGACUGCUAAUACCGCAUAAGCCCACGGGUCGGCAUCGACCAGAGGGAAAAGGAGCAAUCCGCUUUGAGAUGGCCUCGCGUCCGAUUAGCUAGUUGGUGAGGUAACGGCCCACCAAGACAACGAUCGGUAGCCGGACUGAGAGGUUGAACGGCCACAUUGGGACUGAGACACGGCCCAG
Molecule: ribosomal RNA, 240 nt
Filed under: uncultured bacterium
Lineage: Bacteria
Description: partial 16S ribosomal RNA
Rfam family: Bacterial small subunit ribosomal RNA
Source: RNAcentral